RNAcentral lists this ribosomal RNA (826 nucleotides) under Bacillus sp. (in: firmicutes). Its description in RNAcentral is "bacterial SSU rRNA". It matches the Rfam family "Bacterial small subunit ribosomal RNA", at positions 21 to 830 of the family's 1533-position model. Lineage: Bacteria; Bacillati; Bacillota; Bacilli; Caryophanales; Bacillaceae. The record is from RNAcentral.
GGCUCAGGACGAACGCUGGCGGCGUGCCUAAUACAUGCAAGUCGAGCGGACAGAAGGGAGCUUGCUCCCGGAUGUUAGCGGCGGACGGGUGAGUAACACGUGGGUAACCUGCCUGUAAGACUGGGAUAACUCCGGGAAACCGGAGCUAAUACCGGAUAGUUCCUUGAACCGCAUGGUUCAAGGAUGAAAGACGGUUUCGGCUGUCACUUACAGAUGGACCCGCGGCGCAUUAGCUAGUUGGUGGGGUAAUGGCUCACCAAGGCGACGAUGCGUAGCCGACCUGAGAGGGUGAUCGGCCACACUGGGACUGAGACACGGCCCAGACUCCUACGGGAGGCAGCAGUAGGGAAUCUUCCGCAAUGGACGAAAGUCUGACGGAGCAACGCCGCGUGAGUGAUGAAGGUUUUCGGAUCGUAAAGCUCUGUUGUUAGGGAAGAACAAGUGCGAGAGUAACUGCUCGCACCUUGACGGUACCUAACCAGAAAGCCACGGCUAACUACGUGCCAGCAGCCGCGGUAAUACGUAGGUGGCAAGCGUUGUCCGGAAUUAUUGGGCGUAAAGGGCUCGCAGGCGGUUUCUUAAGUCUGAUGUGAAAGCCCCCGGCUCAACCGGGGAGGGUCAUUGGAAACUGGGAAACUUGAGUGCAGAAGAGGAGAGUGGAAUUCCACGUGUAGCGGUGAAAUGCGUAGAGAUGUGGAGGAACACCAGUGGCGAAGGCGACUCUCUGGUCUGUAACUGACGCUGAGGAGCGAAAGCGUGGGGAGCGAACAGGAUUAGAUACCCUGGUAGUCCACGCCGUAAACGAUGAGUGCUAAGUGUUAGGGGG